ACCACAAUUUGACUCAUCGUAUGAUUACACAAAGGCAGCCACAUAUAAUGCUUGGACCAUGGAACAAGCGUGAUACUUUUUUCUUCGUGGGAACAGCACAAAUGGU
Long non-coding RNA from Rhipicephalus microplus (southern cattle tick), 106 nucleotides. Lineage: Eukaryota; Metazoa; Arthropoda; Arachnida; Ixodida; Ixodidae. The record is from RefSeq and is a predicted model, not a curated record.